UAACAUGUAUGCAAUGCUUAGCACAUGAU
RNAcentral lists this non-coding RNA (29 nucleotides) under Mus musculus (house mouse). The record is from RNAcentral. Lineage: Eukaryota; Metazoa; Chordata; Mammalia; Rodentia; Muridae.